UUGAUUAUGGCUCAGAUUGAACGCGCUGGCGGGAUGUUACAUGCAAGUCAGACGACGCUGGACUUCGGUCUGGUGGCGAGUGGCGAACGGGUGAGUAAUGUAUCGGAACGUGCCUAGUAGCGGGGAUAACUACUGGCAAUAGCUAAUACCGCAUACGCCCUUCAAGGGGAAAGCGGGGACCUUCGGGCCUCGCACUAUUAGAGCGGCCGAUGUCGGAUUAGCUAGUUGGUGGGGUAACGGCUCACCAAGGCGACGAUCCGUAGCUGGUUUGAGAGGACGACCAGCCACACUGGGACUGAGACGGCCAGACUCCUACGGGGAGGCAGCAGUGGGGAGUACACCUGGACAAUGGAAACUGCAGUCAGCCAUCCCGUGUGCGAUGAAGGCCUUCAGGUUGUAAAGCACUUUUGGCAGGAAAGAAACAGCUGGGGAUAAUGCCCCGUGCAACUGACGGUACCUACAGAAUAAGCACCGGCUAACUACGUGCCAGCCGCGGUAAUACGUAGGGUGCAAGCGUUAAUCGGAAUUACUGGGCGUAAAGCGUGCGCAGGCAGGUUCGGAAGAAAGAUGUGAAAUCCCAGAGCAACAUGGAACAUUUUUAACCACCGAGCUAGAGUGUGUCAGAGGGAGAGUGGAAUUCCGCGUGUAGCAGUGAAAUGCGUAGAUAUGGAGGAACACCGAUGGCGAAGGCAGCCUCCUGGGAUAUACUGACGGCUCAUGCACGAAAGCGUGGGGAGCAAACAGUUAGAUACCUGGUAGUCCACGCCUAAACGAUGUCAACUAGCUGUUGGGGCCUUGGGCCUUGGUGAAGCAGCUAACGUGAAGUUGACCGCCUGGGAGAUACGGUCGCAAGAUUAAAGCUCAAAGAGAUUGACGGGGACCCGCACAAGCGGUGGAUGAUGGAUUAAUUCGAUGCAGCACGAAAAACCUUACCUACCCUUGACAUGUCUGGAAUCCCGAGAGAUUUGGGAGUGCUCGCAAGAGAACCAGAACACCAGGUGCUGCAUGGCUGUCGUCAGCUCGUAUCGUGAGAUGCGGGUUAAGUCCGCAACGAAAGCAACCCUUGUCAUUAGUUAUACCGAGGCCUCUAAUGGACACCGGUGACAAACCGGAGGAAGGUGGGGAUGACUGGCGUCAGUCCUCCAUGACCCUGUGGGUGGGCUUCACGUCAUACAAUGGUCGGGACAGAGGGUCGCCAACCGCGAGGGGGAGCCAAUCCCAGAAACCCGAUCGUAGUCCGGAUCGCAGUCUGCAACUCGACUGCGUGAAGUCGGAAUCGCUAGUAAUCGCGGAUCAGCAUGUCGCGGUGGAAUACGUUCCCGGGUCUUUGUACACACCGCCCGUCACACACCAUGGGAGUGGGUUUUACCAGAUGGUUAGCUAACCGUAAGGAGGGCGAUUACCACGGUAAGGAUUCAUGACUGGGCCGUCGUAACUCAGAUAGCUCUUGCACCAGUGCUCCAGGAGUA
Molecule: ribosomal RNA, 1469 nt
Filed under: uncultured Bordetella sp.
Lineage: Bacteria; Pseudomonadati; Pseudomonadota; Betaproteobacteria; Burkholderiales; Alcaligenaceae
Description: partial 16S-23S ribosomal RNA intergenic spacer
Rfam family: Bacterial small subunit ribosomal RNA
Source: RNAcentral